AACGGUCUAUACCUGCGGUACCUGCGGAAGGAUCAUUAGUGAACGCCCUCGCGGGCUUAUAACUAUUCCAAACCUCUGUGAACCGUGCCCUUCGGGGCUAUUUUACAAACAUGGUGUAAUGAACGUCAUAUAUCAUAACAAAACAAAACUUUCAGCAACGGAUCUCU
Molecule: unclassified non-coding RNA, 167 nt
Filed under: soil metagenome
Description: partial contains 5.8S ribosomal RNA, internal transcribed spacer 2, and large subunit ribosomal RNA
Source: RNAcentral